UAUGUAGGGUGCGAGCGUUAAUCGGAAUUACUGGGCGUAAAGUGUGCGCAGGCGGCUAAGCAAGUCGAGUGUGAAAGCCCCGGGCUUAACUUGGGAAUUGCGCUCGAAACUACUUUGCUGGAGUGUGGCAGAGGAAGGUGGAAUUCCACGUGUAGCGGUGAAAUGCGUAGAGAUGUGGAGGAACACCAAUGGCGAAGGCAGCCUUCUGGGCCAACACUGACGCUCAUGCACGAAAGCGUGGGGAGCAAACAGG
Molecule: ribosomal RNA, 253 nt
Filed under: uncultured bacterium
Lineage: Bacteria
Description: partial 16S ribosomal RNA
Rfam family: Bacterial small subunit ribosomal RNA
Source: RNAcentral